Molecule: long non-coding RNA, 1103 nt
Organism: Nymphalis io (European peacock)
Lineage: Eukaryota; Metazoa; Arthropoda; Insecta; Lepidoptera; Nymphalidae
Exons: 2
Source: RefSeq, a predicted model, not a curated record
UCGAGGCGAUCCAUAAACAUGUGAAUAAAUUGAUAAAAUAUUGCAUUAGCCAUGAAACGGGUAACUUGUUAUUUCCAUCUGUGACUUUACUGAAAUUUUGUAAUAAAUAAUUAUAAUGUAAAUAAGGGAAUAUCGAUACACAUUACGAUAAUAUACGUCCGAGCGGCAAUGUCACGCAACGUAAAAAAUAUUUGGUUGCUGACCAUGUUCGUUACUGAAAUGUGUAAACAAGUCAGUUUACAAUAUGCGAUGUUUCCAAUGCCUUAUUUCCUGGUACCAGCUCCAAUACCCGUAAUGGUACCAUCUCAGAAAAAAUUAACCUCGACCACACUCAGGAGUCCACCCUGCCCACCUUGUGUGUGUUUGCCGUCAUGUACUCCAGCAUUUUUCUCAUACUGCUCUCUGUGCCAUUUGAAAUGCAGAUGUAAAAGUGCUAAAGAUACACCCGAUCCUAUGCCAAGUGGUUCAAAUUUGAUUUAUGCCAUGCCAGUACCAUUACCUCCAGUUAUUGGUUCACCGCCAGUCGCCAUUCUGAUCCCAGGCGAAUAUUCAUCCGAAUCCUUUGAAGAAUACACGGAUUCAAGUAGUUCCGAUUCUUAUUAGUUAAGAAUUUAUAUUCAUAAGUCUUCGCAGUUCAGAAAUCAAAAGAAGAUCAGCAAUGAAGAUCUUUUUGAAGUAGUUCGUUAAGAAGACCUUACACUUACUCAACUGUCGAACAGCAAUACCUAGUAUUGUCGUGUUCCGGUUUGAUGGGUGAGUGAGCCAGUUUAACUACAGACACAAGGGACAUAACAUACCUUGGGAUUAGAUACAUACCUUAGUUCCCAAGGUAGGUAGCGUAUUACCGAUAUAAAGGAUUAUUAGUAUUUGAUGCAAUGCCAAAAUCUAUGGGCGGUGAUGACCACUUACAAUCAGGUAAGUGUAUGUUGGCGACUCACCAGAGUUCUACCCUGGAUCCAUGGUAAAAAAUAAGACACUCAACAGAAACGAAUUAUUUAUAUUUUUAAACAACUUCACUGUACAACAAUCAUCGAAAGGAAUGCCUUACUUUGCAACUAACUAAAAGACGACAUAUGUUUUUAUCAAUAAAAAUAUUAUAUUUA